Molecule: ribosomal RNA, 531 nt
Filed under: uncultured bacterium
Lineage: Bacteria
Description: bacterial SSU rRNA
Rfam family: Bacterial small subunit ribosomal RNA
Source: RNAcentral
AGAGUUUGAUCCUGGCUCAGAUUGAACGCUGGCGGCGUGCUUAACACAUGCAAGUCGAACGUGAAAGUCCUUCGGGACGAGUAAAGUGGCGCACGGGUGAGUAACGCGUGGAUAAUCUACCCUUAAGAUGGGGAUAACGGCUGGAAACGGUCGCUAAUACCGAAUACGCUCCCGAUUUUAUCAUUGGGGGGAAAGAUGGCCUCUGCCUGCAAGCUAUCGCUUAAGGAUGAGUCCGCGUCCCAUUAGCUAGUUGGCGGGGUAACGGCCCACCAAGGCAACGAUGGGUAGCCGGUCUGAGAGGAUGACCGGCCACACUGGAACUGGAACACGGUCCAGACUCCUACGGGAGGCAGCAGUGGGGAAUAUUGCGCAAUGGGCGAAAGCCUGACGCAGCGACGCCGCGUGAGGGAUGAAGGUUCUCGGAUCGUAAACCUCUGUCAGGGGGGAAGAAACCCCCUCGUGUGAAUAAUGCGAGGGCUUGACGGUACCCCCAAAGGAAGCACCGGCUAACUCCGUGCCAGCAGCCGCGGU